CUUGGCUUCGAGGCCGAUAGUGACGUGCACAGAAUUCUCUGAUCCGAAUGCAGGCCUCAAUCAUCAACUCCUCUGGGACGGUUACCACAAUUCGGAAGAAGGUUGGAUAUUCAAAUGCCUGCAGAAAGAAACAACAUAGGUGAGACACUUAUACUUACUCCGGUUCCCAAUAUGUCGUUACGAUCAUGGAUGAGGAUCCAGCCCAUCCUCCAGCCAGGAACCAACCACCGCUUGGCAAGGCCACCACAGGACAGGAUGGGCACGUCACUGCUGAGAGGUGCCAAAGGAUGAAAAUCACAGCCUGGGAAUAUCUGCAGAUUGAGAGAUAAUAUAAUAUAAUAUAAUGCAAGAUGGAUAAUAUUCAAUCAAAUGUUUGAAGUCAGUACGAUUUUUUUUUUUCAAA
This is a long non-coding RNA of Labeo rohita (rohu), 403 nucleotides long. RefSeq lists it as uncharacterized. NCBI's taxonomy places the organism in Eukaryota, Metazoa, Chordata, Actinopteri, Cypriniformes, Cyprinidae. The record is from RefSeq and is a predicted model, not a curated record. The transcript is spliced from 2 exons.